AUUGAACGCUGGCGGCAUGCCUUACACAUGCAAGUCGAACGGCAGCACGGGAGCAAUCCUGGUGGCGAGUGGCGAACGGGUGAGUAAUAUAUCGGAACGUGCCCAGUCGUGGGGGAUAACGUAGCGAAAGUUACGCUAAUACCGCAUACGAUCUAUGGAUGAAAGCGGGGGAGUCGCAAGACCUCGCGCGAUUGGAGCGGCCGAUAUCAGAUUAGGUAGUUGGUGGGGUAAAGGCUCACCAAGCCGACGAUCUGUAGCUGGUCUGAGAGGACGACCAGCCACACUGGGACUGAGACACGGCCCAGACUCCUACGGGAGGCAGCAGUGGGGAAUUUUGGACAAUGGGCGCAAGCCUGACCGAGCAACGCCGCGUGGAGGACGACGGCCUUCGGUUGUAACUACCUUUUGUCGGGGACGGAGUUGUGACUGUACCCCGCCGAAUCAGGCGUCGGCGUAACUCUGUGCCAGCAG
Molecule: ribosomal RNA, 471 nt
Filed under: uncultured bacterium
Lineage: Bacteria
Description: bacterial SSU rRNA
Rfam family: Bacterial small subunit ribosomal RNA
Source: RNAcentral